AACGGUGCCGGCUCUCCCCCCCGGAGCCGGACCGUAAGACGGCCCCCGCUAUCCCCCCGGCGGGGGCCGUCGUCA
Molecule: regulatory RNA element, 75 nt
Organism: Streptomonospora alba
Lineage: Bacteria; Bacillati; Actinomycetota; Actinomycetes; Streptosporangiales; Nocardiopsidaceae
Rfam family: 6C RNA
Source: Rfam